CAGAGUUCAUGCCCGAAAGGGUAGACCUCCCACCCUUGUGUAUUAUUACUUUGUUGCUUUGGCGGGUCGCGCGUGUUUUAUCCGCGCGCUCGCCAAAGGAUAUCAAAACUCUUUUUAUUAGUGUCGUCUGAGUACUAUAUAAUAGUUA
Molecule: unclassified non-coding RNA, 148 nt
Filed under: uncultured fungus
Lineage: Eukaryota; Fungi
Description: sequence contains ITS1, 5.8S rRNA gene
Source: RNAcentral